AAGUCGUAACAAGGUUUCCGUAGGUGAACCUGCGGAAGGAUCAUCAAAGUGAUCGUGUGUGGGGGAGGAGAGUUUAUGCGCGCAACGCGCGCGCGCCUCCUCCUCCCCACGCCAAUCUUGUGUGAACCGUUAUUCUGUGGUGUGUGUAUGCGUUGGUGUGUGAUGUGUUUACAGCACUCCCACCAGCAUCACAAACACAAUAAUCUCUCUCUUUAACCUUUGUCUAACAUGAUGUACCCACAAUUCAAAACAACUUUUAACAAUGGAUCUCUUGGCUCUC
Molecule: unclassified non-coding RNA, 280 nt
Filed under: fungal sp.
Lineage: Eukaryota; Fungi
Description: partial internal transcribed spacer region
Rfam family: Eukaryotic small subunit ribosomal RNA (bases 1-46)
Source: RNAcentral